AAGGAUAAGGGACUGCACCCUUCGCAAACAACACGGCAUAUGGACAUGCACUCACAUGCAAAGAAUUUACAUCGGCUGAGCAGAUUUCCAGGCAGUCGGUUUAAGAUGAUGUAAACCCACAGAAAUGCAAGAUGAUUUGAACUGCGCCACAUCCAUGACAGUUGGUCGGCAGAGAUAUUAGCCAAUGAUGGUAGAAGAUACUUACGUGAAAAUGUUCGGCAGCUACCUGGAAACUGAAGGUCAUGGAGCAGAAUUCUUUGCAUUGGAAGGGAUCACUCACCUAGCUGGAGUUUGGGAAUAUCUGAAGACCAUGAAGAGAUGACCUGGAAGGCCUAGUGAGAAUAGAAGGGACUGCAGCCUUUGGGAAACUGUAAGUGUGGGAUUUCUUAUCAUGAAGCAGUCUCAACAGAUGACAAAGUUGAUACUAGGUUUUGCAAACCUCUGCUGAUUCCUGUUUAUGUGUGCACAGCACAUACUCUCAAUUGUUGCAAAACAAUUUUUGCACUGGAUUAUAAUCCACAUUGGAAAGACAAAUGGGGACUGAUCAUUGCAUUCACAAAUAUAUGUGUAUAGACUGCUGGAGAGACUGUUGCUCCCUAGCACCAGAGAAAGGCCUGUAGAAAAACAUAAAUCAUGUACCAACAAAUGUAGAGAAAGGGGGAGAAAAAUGCAUGUAAUAUUUUAUUGUAGUACUGAGCCACAUUUCCGCAGCAGAGUUCCUUCUUUCAGCUUAAACGGGCCAUUACUAUAUUACAGUGCAAACUCUAGAGAUUUUCAAGGGAAAAUAAAGGGGCAUUGUCAUCGUAUUGUCCUUCACUAACAAAAGUUACCUCCACUGUUUAAAUAAUAUCCUUGGUCUUUGGCUCCAUGCAUUAUUUAAUAAUCUUAGAAACUUCUGUGACCUUUAAGCAAUAGUAAACUGUGAUUGCUUGACAAACAGGUCAAUGUUUGCAUAAUAGUUGUGUCUUUGGAGAUACAAAAAUAUUCAUCAGAAUGCCUUGACUGGCUUCCCUCACCCUUCAUUUCUUUGGCAGUUCUCCAGCAGUAUUGCCCUCUGUUAAACAUUAUUCCACUUCAAGGGUAUUUGCAGGACUAGGAAGCAGGCAGUGUGUUAUAGCACUUGAAAAUGCAGGGUGGGGGAGGUUGUAUGUCUCUGAGGCAUGCUUACCAAUGCACACGCAUAUAUGCCAUGAGUAGCUGUUACCUUUGGUAGAAAGUAUGUGUUGAAAAAAGUCAGUAAAAUGAUGGGGUAGAUACGUUAGAUUUAUUCCUGGUUAUCAUGCACUUUGUUUUAGAAGGAUGACAAACUGGUAUUUUCUGUUUGAAGGGCAUACUUGAAAGCAAGGAACUGGGUUUGAACUUCUGGUUUUAUUGUUAGCAGUGUUGGUUGCAGGGCCAGUUAAGCAAACAUGUGGGCUCCUGCAUGCUCCUUAGCAAUACUUAAAGGGAAAGUUGUAUUGACACAUUCUCUAUUACUUAAGUUUGAAUUAGAGGGAUCAUAAAAGUUAGAAGUGGUCUCAGAGAAGAAUAUUGAAGAAUGCAGUAACUUAGUUCCGUGGCAUUUUAUAUGAAAGCGUGUGUAGUUUCACCGUCAACUGCUUGAUGUUAAAUGCCUCUAUGGUAUCUAUUUCCCACUGGAAGGUAACCGUGCCCUCUGCAUAGCCAUAUGAGAACAGAGUAAUACCAAUUUCACUUAAGUAAACGUUUUUUUUUUUUUCCACUGCAAUGCAGUACGCAUACACAAGUGUAAAUGCAAACAUAUCUGUAGUCAGUAUAUGUAUCGGUUUGUAUCCUCAGUUGCAGCUGAUACUGUACUCCAAAUACGAUGAGCAUCAGAAGAAUGCAAGAAAUCAGCAUCAGAUGAAUGCAAGAAAUCAGCAUCAGAAUGCAAGAAAACAGAAAGGAUAAGAAGAUCAUUUUGAGAAGUUUUCAAGGAGACAACUAGAAAAUGUUGAUUUCAAAGUUAUAGUGUAAUUCGAGUCAAUGUAUGAUGGAGCAAUGUGGAAAUUAUUCCAGCUUGACGAGAUGCAAGACCUUAUAAGUAACUCUACAAAAAUUAGAAUUAUUGGACGAGAAAAGCACCUCAAUGAUACAUUGCACUUCAGUGGCUUCAAGGGUCCCUGGAUGAAGCCAUUUAGCACUUGGUAUGUUUUGGAAACUUAGGUAUGGAGCAUUCCUGAAAGAGUCUGAACUCAGAUGCCAGACAGGUCCCUCAUGUUUCCAGCUUCUCUGAGUCUACAUAGUUUGGCAAUAAAUGGGGAACUGAGAGUGGCUCUGAUAACAGAACAAGUUCAGAAACUUAACGUUCUCUCAGACCUGAAACCAUGACAACUGACAUUGCUGACAUCCUUUUCACAAGUCCUAUUGCACUCUGUUAUCUUCAGCUUCUAACUCUGCUUUGAGAGAAACGUCUUUAUUUGAGGAGCUUAAAACAGCCUCAGGUCUUCAGGACUGUGGCCCUGUUUUCCAACGAGGAUGUGGGAGCUGUAAGGGCCAGUGAGAGACUUACUGCUAAUGGACACAUUACCUUUACAAUCCUGGAGUAUAUUGUUAUUCAGAUAACAGGAAAUACUCAUCAAUACUGCUUAAGGUCUGAAAAAGUAAAAAGGACAACCUAGCUGAUGUAACUACUCAAUUACAGUUAAGAUUUAGAUACAUUAACACAGGAAACAUUAAUUAAUGUGACUUCACUGACAGUGUCUUCAAGCUUUAACAAUGACUUCUAGCUGCUAAUGUUAUAGUUUUACAAGAUGUUAAUGCAAUUCUAAACAUUUUUUGAAGAAUAAGGCAGCUUGAGAGGAAGGGUGUAAAAUCUUUGAUUCUCUUCACCUUAAUAUUUAAAGAAUAAAACCAUUCUGGAAUAACAUCUUCAGAAGAGAACCCUCAAAUAUACAGACAAUCUUAUAAAACACAGAGUUUAUGGUAAAAAAUUAUGGAAAUAUAGAAAAUCAAGUCUGACAGGGAAAACAUGUUUGUGAACAGUUGGAACUGUUCUCCUGAGUGUCACUUUUAAUGAUAGUUCAUAGUCAUUGAGGCCAUUAAGAUUGGAAAAGACCUCCAAGAUCAAGCACAACCAUCCACCUACCACCAAUAUUUCCUCACUAAACCAUGUUCCUCAGUACAACAUCUAAACAUUUCUUGAACACCUCCAUGGACAGUGACUCCACCACCACCCUGGGCAGCCCAUUCCAGUGCCUGAUCACUCUUUCAGAGAAGAAAUUUUCCCUAAUAUCCAACGUGAAUCUCCCCUGGCGCAACUCCAGUUCUCUCCCCAAUCCCACUUGGAAGAGGAACAGUGAAUGAAUGACUGUGUGGUGCUUUGCCACUUGCUGGGUUAAACCACAACAGUAAGGCAAUCUUUUAAUUCAAUAUAUGCAACACUUAGUGCAGUAAGAUCUUGUUUAAUGGAUCUUUGGCAUUAUGUUACCAUCAUUUUUCUUACUGAAAUUUAACUUGAUCAAAUUCAUAGUGAAGUGGAAUGAAAUCUUCCCAGCUCACAAAACAUUACAGUAGUUAGAACAACUGCAGUUCUCAUCUGUUACAUUCUAGCCUUAUACCAGUGUAUUAAUGUAAAGGUAUAUUUCCCUAUAAGAUGAACCUCAAGAGGACCUAAAUUGCAUUUUUAUCAAAUAAUUUUGAAACAAUUGGAGGAUUGCUGGAAGAGUUCUUAAGUUACAGGAUGUUCUAUCCUCUCUUGCAGGCAGGUCAAGUCAUAGCACAUCCUGAAGCUGGUUCUGCUCUGACAGCAUGCCUGCAUGCCAUGCAAUGGCCUUGGUGGAGAAACAGUGCUGUGUCAGAAGGAGCUGUUGAUUCAUCAUGAUUAAAAAAUGAUCUUCAGAAUUCUUGGAAAAUGGAUGAAAUAUCCAUUAUAGAUUUUAUGAGUACUGUCUUUAACAUGAAAGCUUUUUAAAUUGACCAUGAUUCAUACUAAUAAAUGAAUAUACCUUAAAAAAAAAUAGAAUCUAGAAUACAGGACUGCAGAGAACAACUCAAAACCUACAGUGACUUUUUGAGUUACUCUGUGGUGAAGAAGUAAGUAGAGAAAGACAAGUUGAUGAAUUAGGCCAAAUACUUUGCACCUUUAACAUCUACUGAAAUGGAUGGGGGCUGAAGAUUCAUACAGCAUCUUGCACAUCAAGGCUUUGUUACCACUAUUAGGUCCUUUCCCAUUAUGAAAACUACCUACGAGACCAUCCUUGAUGUCUGAUGUGCCUUGAUGGGCAGAACUGGAAGAGGGACAGAACUGUGCUUCUGACUCCUGUUUACUCCAUACUGCAUGAUUGUUACGUUCAUGAACCUGGUUUGGCAAUCACUGUAAAGGAGGAAAUAGUAAUCAUGUAAUUUCUUCAUAUACUGGAAAAAAAUACAAGAAAUAAGGCUGAGCUGUUUUUAAACAACCAAAGAACUAUUUGGAAAAUAAUUACAAAGCAAUAAAUGGGCAUACGUGAGGCAUAUAUAUCAAGACAGUGAAAGACAGGAAGUAGGAAAUGACAUUUUUCCUGGCCUAAUGUAUGAUAAUAAUUACAAGAAAUUGCAAUUUAGAGAAAACACAUUUCUUUUUGCUCCUAUCUGUAUUUUGGUAAAUUACUGUUCUCUGUUGUGACAGAAAAUUAAUUGCUACUGUGGCUGUUGAUUGCUUCUUAAUGACAUUGUAAUACACAGCUUUUUGGUUCAAUGUUAUUCUCAAUUCAAAUAUCUUUGUAAAUAUCAUAUACGGACUAUCUUGUAAGUAUGAUAUGAUUCAAGUUAUGCUUGUAAAACCUCCACUUAAAAUGAAUCUCCAUGUGACAGGUAA
Long non-coding RNA from Gallus gallus (chicken), 4795 nucleotides. RefSeq lists it as uncharacterized. NCBI's taxonomy places the organism in Eukaryota, Metazoa, Chordata, Aves, Galliformes, Phasianidae. The record is from RefSeq and is a predicted model, not a curated record. The transcript has 4 exons.